GACGAACGCUGGCGGCGUGCCUAAUACAUGCAAGUAGAACGCUGAAGGAGGAGCUUGCUUCUCUGGAUGAGUUGCGAACGGGUGAGUAACGCGUAGGUAACCUGCCUGGUAGCGGGGGAUAACUAUUGGAAACGAUAGCUAAUACCGCAUAAGAGUAGAUGUUGCAUGACAUUUGCUUAAAAGGUGCAAUUGCAUCACUACCAGAUGGACCUGCGUUGUAUUAGCUAGUUGGUGGGGUAACGGCUCACCAAGGCGACGAUACAUAGCCGACCUGAGAGGGGGAUCGGCCACACUGGGACUGAGACACGGCCCAGACUCCUACGGGAGGCAGCAGUAGGGAAUCUUCGGCAAUAGACGGAAGUCUGACCGAGCAACGCCGCGUGAGUGAAGAAGGGUUUCGGAUCGUAAAGCUCGGUUGUAAGAGAAGAACGAGUGUGAGAGUGGAAAGUUCACACUGUGACGGUAUCUGACCAGAAAGGGACGGCUAACUACGUG
Molecule: ribosomal RNA, 495 nt
Filed under: uncultured bacterium
Lineage: Bacteria
Description: partial 16S ribosomal RNA
Rfam family: Bacterial small subunit ribosomal RNA
Source: RNAcentral